This 490-nucleotide ribosomal RNA is filed under the name uncultured bacterium. RNAcentral describes it as "partial 16S ribosomal RNA". It matches the Rfam family "Bacterial small subunit ribosomal RNA", at positions 30 to 507 of the family's 1533-position model. The record is from RNAcentral.
AUUGAACGCUGGCGGCAGGCCUAACACAUGCAAGUCGAACGGUAACAGGAAGCAGCUUGCUGCUUUGCUGACGAGUGGCGGACGGGUGAGUAAUGUCUGGGAAACUGCCCGAUGGAGGGGGAUAACUACUGGAAACGGUAGCUAAUACCGCAUAACGUCGCAAGACCAAAGAGGGGGACCUUAGGGCCCCUUGCCAUCGGAUGUGCCCAGAUGGGAUUAGCUAGUAGGUGGGGUAACGGCUCACCUAGGCGACGAUCCCUAGCUGGUCUGAGAGGAUGACCAGCCACACUGGAACUGAGGCACGGUCCAGACUCCUACGGGAGGCAGCAGUGGGGAAUAUUGCACAAUGGGCGCAAGCCUGAUGCAGCCAUGCCGCGUGUAUGAAGAAGGCCUUCGGGUUGUAAAGUACUUUCAGCGGGGAGGAAGGGAGUAAAGUUAAUACCUUUGCUCAUUGACGUUACCCGCAGAAGAAGCACCGGCUAACUCCGUG